Mustela putorius furo (domestic ferret) is the source of this 105-nucleotide non-coding RNA. The record is from Rfam. NCBI's taxonomy places the organism in Eukaryota, Metazoa, Chordata, Mammalia, Carnivora, Mustelidae.
GUUUGCUUCAGUAGUACAUACACUAAAAUUGAAGCAAUACAGAGAAGAUAGCAUGGUCCUUGUGUAAAGAUAGACAGACAAGUUCAUGACAUGUUCUGUAUUUUU